Non-coding RNA from Pelobates cultripes (western spadefoot toad), 246 nucleotides. Lineage: Eukaryota; Metazoa; Chordata; Amphibia; Anura; Pelobatidae. The record is from the annotation of a GenBank genome assembly.
UGGAUGUGCAGGAGUACGUGAUGGCACACAGUACACAGGAGACACCCUCCAGGGCAGAAUCAGUUACUGCCUCCAUCUGCAGCCAGGUAAAACCCAAAAUCCCAUACCAUGCUUUUAAGAGGUUUUGUGAGGAGAAGGAUGAGAUUGAUGGGUAUUUACAAGAUUUCGAAAGGCUGUGCGAUUUACAUGACUUAGAGCAGGCGGUAUGGGUACCGUUACUGGCAGGCAAACUGUGCGGUCGGGCAG